Molecule: ribosomal RNA, 1812 nt
Filed under: Yersinia intermedia
Lineage: Bacteria; Pseudomonadati; Pseudomonadota; Gammaproteobacteria; Enterobacterales; Yersiniaceae
Also listed under: 1 other name
Description: 23S ribosomal RNA
Rfam family: Bacterial large subunit ribosomal RNA
Source: RNAcentral
UAGCUCACUGGUCGAGUCGGCCUGCGCGGAAGAUGUAACGGGGCUAAACCAUGCACCGAAGCUGCGGCAGCGACACUUAGGUGUUGUUGGGUAGGGGAGCGUUCUGUAAGCCGUUGAAGGUGACCUGUGAGGGUUGCUGGAGGUAUCAGAAGUGCGAAUGCUGACAUAAGUAACGAUAAUGCGGGUGAAAAGCCCGCACGCCGGAAGACCAAGGGUUCCUGUCCAACGUUAAUCGGGGCAGGGUGAGUCGACCCCUAAGGCGAGGCUGAAAAGCGUAGUCGAUGGGAAACAGGUUAAUAUUCCUGUACUUGGUGUUACUGCGAAGGGGGGACGGAGAAGGCUAGGCUAGCCGGGCGACGGUUGUCCCGGUUUAAGCAUGUAGGCGGAGUGACUUGGUAAAUCCGGUUGCUUAUCAACGCUGAGGUGUGAUGACGAGCCACUACGGUGGUGAAGUAGUUGAUGCCAAGCUUCCAGGAAAAGCCUCUAAGCAUCAGGUAACAUUAAAUCGUACCCCAAACCGACACAGGUGGUCAGGUAGAGAAUACUCAGGCGCUUGAGAGAACUCGGGUGAAGGAACUAGGCAAAAUGGUGCCGUAACUUCGGGAGAAGGCACGCUGGCAUUAGGUAAAGAGACUUGCUCUCGGCGCCGAAGCCAGUCGCAGAUACCAGCUGGCUGCAACUGUUUAAUAAAAACACAGCACUGUGCAAACACGAAAGUGGACGUAUACGGUGUGACGCCUGCCCGGUGCUGGAAGGUUAAUUGAUGGGGUCAGCCGCAAGGCGAAGCUCUUGAUCGAAGCCCCAGUAAACGGCGGCCGUAACUAUAACGGUCCUAAGGUAGCGAAAUUCCUUGUCGGGUAAGUUCCGACCUGCACGAAUGGCGUAAUGAUGGCCAGGCUGUCUCCACCCGAGACUCAGUGAAAUUGAACUCGCUGUGAAGAUGCAGUGUACCCGCGGCAAGACGGAAAGACCCCGUGAACCUUUACUAUAGCUUGACACUGAACAUUGAGCCUUGAUGUGUAGGAUAGGUGGGAGGCAUCGAAGUGUGGACGCCAGUCUGCAUGGAGCCAACCUUGAAAUACCACCCUUUAAUGUUUGAUGUUCUAACUCGGCCCCGUAAUCCGGGGUGAGGACAGUGUCUGGUGGGUAGUUUGACUGGGGCGGUCUCCUCCCAAAGAGUAACGGAGGAGCACGAAGGUUAGCUAAUCACGGUCGGACAUCGUGAGGUUAGUGCAAAGGCAUAAGCUAGCUUGACUGCGAGAGUGACGGCUCGAGCAGGUACGAAAGUAGGUCUUAGUGAUCCGGUGGUUCUGAAUGGAAGGGCCAUCGCUCAACGGAUAAAAGGUACUCCGGGGAUAACAGGCUGAUACCGCCCAAGAGUUCAUAUCGACGGCGGUGUUUGGCACCUCGAUGUCGGCUCAUCACAUCCUGGGGCUGAAGUAGGUCCCAAGGGUAUGGCUGUUCGCCAUUUAAAGUGGUACGCGAGCUGGGUUUAGAACGUCGUGAGACAGUUCGGUCCCUAUCUGCCGUGGGCGUUGGAAGAUUGAGAGGGGCUGCUCCUAGUACGAGAGGACCGGAGUGGACGAAUCACUGGUGUUCGGGUUGUCAUGCCAAUGGCAUUGCCCGGUAGCUAAAUUCGGAAGAGAUAACCGCUGAAAGCAUCUAAGCGGGAAACUUGCCUCGAGAUGAGUCUUCCCUGGGGCUUUAAGCCCCCUGAAGGAACGUUAAAGACUAUGACGUUGAUAGGCUGGGUGUGUAAGUGCAGCGAUGUAUUGAGCUAACCAGUACUAAUGAUCCGUGAGGCUUAACCUU